Castor canadensis (American beaver) is the source of this 121-nucleotide small nucleolar RNA. The record is from Ensembl. Lineage: Eukaryota; Metazoa; Chordata; Mammalia; Rodentia; Castoridae.
UGGUCAUUACCAAGGCUUUUAGAAUGCAGUUUCUCAUUUGCUGUGGACAUGACCAUAAAGAAAUUUCCCACUAGGUUUUCUAUAUGCUACUUUGUUAGCAAUCAACCUAUUGGGGACACUA